AACUUUUCUUCUAAUUUUUUUUUAUUUAAUAUUUUUUUAUUUUAUAAAAUUCACGCGUGCUUAUAAUUUUUUAGCCGUGGGAUCGCCUCAACAUCUGUACAGUACUUCAAAAACUUAAAAGAAAUACACCAUUAAUAAUAUUGUACAGAUAUCGAGGCGAUAUCAAGUUAAAAAGCUACAAACAUAAAUGCGUCCGCUGCUAUCGAGUUUUCGGCCGUUUAAUAAAAAAAUGUACGAUUAUGAUGAUAAUAACCUCUUAGUGUUGAAUGGAUGGCUGGUUAAAUAAUAUAAUUUAAUGAAUAAAAAUGAUCAAAAAACUAUAUCUAACAGUAAAAAACUUAAGUGCACCAAGCUGAACUAACUAUUCUGUGGGACUAGAAAAAAAAAAAAAUAAACAACUUACUCGGAAAAGUGCGGAAAACUAUUUUUCCAGAAAAAGUACUAUUUUCCACACUUUUUGUUUUCUAAAUAAAAAACUCUGUUAAAUAUAAAAUUAUAUAAACACACCGUUCUCUAACGGCUUAAGCUUUUAGAAUACAACGGUUGUUUCACAUGAUAUCAGAGUAGGAGGUCCUGAGUUCGAAUAACGUCAGGCUCCUAACAUAUUAAUUUUCUUCCAUUUAAUUCAAGCCCACGUCAUGAGCCAACUAAAAAGUCUCGAGCCCGGACGUGAGGGGGAGUGUUAAAUAUAAAAUUAUAUAAAGACACCGUUCUCUAACAGCUUAAGCUUUUAGA
This 735-nucleotide long non-coding RNA is filed under the name Ananas comosus (pineapple). RNAcentral's name for it is "long non-coding RNA (ACOM_LNC037480)". Lineage: Eukaryota; Viridiplantae; Streptophyta; Magnoliopsida; Poales; Bromeliaceae. The record is from RNAcentral.